GGGCCAAGUUCCUUGGAACAGGACGCCCGAGAGGGUGAGAGCCCCGUACGCUCGGGACCCACCGCCGCUGAAAAGCUCCUUCGACGAGUCGAGUUGUUUGGGAAUGCAGCUCUAAGUGGGAGGUAUAUUUCUUCUAAAGCUAAAUACCGGCCAGAGACCGAUAGCGCACAAGUAGAGUGAUCGAAAGAUGAAAAGCACUUUGGAAAGAGAGUUAAAAAGCACGUGAAAUUGUUGAAAGGGAAGCUCUUGCUGUCAGACUUGUCGGGGUGGUUCAGCCGUCUCUAGGGGCGGUGUACUCCAUCGUUGGCGGGCCAGCAUCAGCUUCGACGGCCGGACAAAGGCCCCGGGAAUGUAGCUCUCUUCGGGGGGUGUUUUAGCCCGGGACGUAAUGCGGCCAGUCGGGGCUGAGGGAUGCGUUUUUCUGCUAGGAUGCUGGCGUAAUGGCAGCAAGCGACCCGUCUUGAAACACGGACCAAGGAGUCUAACAUCUGUGCGAGUGUUUGGGUGUUAAACCCAUGCGCGUAAUGAAAGUGAACGGAGGUGGGAACCCCGUAAAACGGGUGCACCAUCGACCGAUCCUGAUGUCUUCGGAUGGAUUUGAGUAAGAGCACAGCUGUUGGGACCCGAAAGAUGGUGAACUAUGCGUAGAUAGGGUGAAGCCAGAGGAAACUCUGGUGGAGGCUCGCAGCGGUUCUGACGUGCAAAUCGAUCGUCAAAUCUGCGUAUAGGGGCGAAAGACUAAUCGAACCAUGAACACUAUGAAAGACUACUAGGUGGUUAAGAGGCCGGCGGAUCUUCUAGGGGUUUAAACCCCUACAAGUACGCCUGGUCUAGUCCCGAGAGAACGGGGCCACGUCGACAAAUUGCGGGGACAUUCCUUCAAAAUAUAGAAGCUACUAAACCCAGCGGACUUGCGCCGGGUGGCCACGAUUAAAAGCCGUGGGUAUAGUAAAAAUGCCUCUAAUUAUGGGGACGAUCCGCAGCUGAGUCCCUACAACGGAGCGUCAAAGCCUCUACCGUUAUAGGGCCUGGUUCACAGACUAGACGUCGAUGGGUAGGUUACCGCGGGGGGUAACAAUGCUCAAGGUAUAGUCGGGUCUAUGGCCUAAUAAGCCGUAAAUUCGUUGGGGCGAAUG
This 1136-nucleotide ribosomal RNA is filed under the name Arthonia phaeophysciae. Its description in RNAcentral is "partial large subunit ribosomal RNA". It matches the Rfam family "Eukaryotic large subunit ribosomal RNA", at positions 178 to 1137 of the family's 3401-position model. The record is from RNAcentral. Lineage: Eukaryota; Fungi; Ascomycota; Arthoniomycetes; Arthoniales; Arthoniaceae.